GACACCCGGAGCCCCUCUACCACCUGCCACACUGCAAGAUGGGUCCAGCUGCCUGGUGUGGGAGAGGGAUGAUGAAGGAUGAGUUCUCCAGCCUGGAGGAAGGGUUAAAAAGCAGAGAAAGGAUGAAACAGGAGGAUUGACAUUAGACUCCAAGAAGAACUUCCCGUUGCUAGGAUGCAGUAGAAGCUGGAAGAAAUUAGCAGGCGUCUUAGUGAGUUGAACUCUGCUGCGGUGAUUUCUCCCAUAGAAUUACAAAUGUCUUAACCUUCUUAGGCCUGAUUCUCACUUAAUUCCCACCUCGGGACAGGUGAUGGGCAAGCAGGCACCAUAGCCUUCACUCUGAAUUCUCUGCCUCACGCCAGUUUAAGCCCCAUGCUUUAUUUAUGUGAAUUUUGUUUUCAUGUAGACAUGUUACUCUCCUUGCUGUAGAAGGUGGUUCCCCAAACUGCUGCAAAUGUUCCUUGUCUGUAUAUUUUAUUCAUAUGGAUCCGUUAUUGGCCUAUCCCUUCCUGAAAGAGCUGAAAUUUGCCCUUGAGGCAUCAGAUGGAGUAGUCAAAUUGUCAAAUGUGUCUCCUAAUUGAAGUGAACGUUGGCACAAUAUUUGUCGACUGGAAAUAAACAGCCCCAGUGAAGUAGCAGGUUUACAACCUUCAUGUGCUUGUUCCGGUCUUGCUGAGAGUUGAGGGAGACGUGCAGAGAC
RNAcentral lists this long non-coding RNA (700 nucleotides) under Canis lupus familiaris (dog). Its description in RNAcentral is "lncRNA (ENSCAFG00845001501.1)". The record is from RNAcentral. Lineage: Eukaryota; Metazoa; Chordata; Mammalia; Carnivora; Canidae.